Molecule: long non-coding RNA, 568 nt
Organism: Ailuropoda melanoleuca (giant panda)
Lineage: Eukaryota; Metazoa; Chordata; Mammalia; Carnivora; Ursidae
Exons: 4
Source: RefSeq, a predicted model, not a curated record
CCUCUCCCUUAUCCUGGAAUGACCUAUCGCCCAAUUCGGAGCCCGGCCGCGGCCCCGACUCACGUGUAAGGAGGGAAUUGAGUGGCAGCCCAGGGAUGAACAGGCAGGCGGUCACUAUAGCCUUUGUUCAGACUGCUUCCUGUAAUACUGGAGCCCUAGAGAUGGGGAAAGAAGAGAAUCUCUCAUACAAGUAUCUUCGAGGGAGUUUCGAAAUCAUCUGUAGUUUCUGCCUCUUGUAGAAGAGAAGCACCAGGAGAGAAAGGACCUUAUCUGCCUAUGCAUCAUUGGAUUCCCAACCCCUAGAAUAAGCAGCUGGCAUAUUAGUAGGCAUGCUGGAGUAAGCUACGUACUCGAUGUAACCCUUGUGAAGUCAAGGACAGAGCUCAGUUUGGCUCAUAUCUUGAUUUCAUCAUUGGAAGGCCCCUGGCUCUGGGUACAACGAGCAAGAAGUGAAGAGGACUUGGUGUGAGAAGAUGUUGGUUUAAAAAUAAAGUCUGCAGGGAGAAAGCUAGAACCAGAUGGUCUGUGGCUUUUGGACUAAGAAGAGGACAUACCUGAUACGCAGUCC